RNAcentral lists this ribosomal RNA (157 nucleotides) under uncultured fungus. Its description in RNAcentral is "5.8S ribosomal RNA". It matches the Rfam family "5.8S ribosomal RNA". From Rfam's summary of the family: 5.8S ribosomal RNA (5.8S rRNA) is a component of the large subunit of the eukaryotic ribosome. It is transcribed by RNA polymerase I as part of the 45S precursor that also contains 18S and 28S rRNA. The record is from RNAcentral. Lineage: Eukaryota; Fungi.
CAACUUUCGACAACGGAUCUCUUGGUUCUCCCAUCGAUGAAGAACGCAGCGAAACGCGAUAGGUAAUGUGGAUUGCAGAAUUCCGUGAAUCAUCGAAUCUUUGAACGCACCUUGCGCUCUAUGGUAUUCCGUAGAGCAUGCCUGUUUGAGUGCCGUG